GAUGAACGCUGGCGGCGUGCCUAAUACAUGCAAGUAGAACGCUGAAGCUUGGUGCUUGCACCGAGCGGAUGAGUUGCGAACGGGUGAGUAACGCGUAGGUAACCUGCCUCUUAGCGGGGGAUAACUAUUGGAAACGAUAGCUAAUACCGCAUAAAAGUCGACAUUGCAUGAUGUUGACUUGAAAGGUGCAAUUGCAUCACUAAGAGAUGGACCUGCGUUGUAUUAGCUAGUUGGUGAGGUAACGGCUCACCAAGGCAACGAUACAUAGCCGACCUGAGAGGGUGAUCGGCCACACUGGGACUGAGACACGGCCCAGACUCCUACGGGAGGCAGCAGUAGGGAAUCUUCGGCAAUGGGGGCAACCCUGACCGAGCAACGCCGCGUGAGUGAAGAAGGUUUUCGGAUCGUAAAGCUCUGUUGUAAGAGAAGAACGAGUGUGAGAGUGGAAAGUUCACACUGUGACGGUAACUUACCAGAAAGGGACGGCUAACUACGUGCCAGCAGCCGCGGUAAUACGUAGGUCCCGAGCGUUAUCCGGAUUUAUUGGGCGUAAAGCGAGCGCAGGCGGUUAGAUAAGUCUGAAGUUAAAGGCUGUGGCUUAACCAUAGUACGCUUUGGAAACUGUUUAACUUGAGUGCAGAAGGGGAGAGUGGAAUUCCAUGUGUAGCGGUGAAAUGCGUAGAUAUAUGGAGGAACACCGGUGGCGAAAGCGGCUCUCUGGUCUGUAACUGACGCUGAGGCUCGAAAGCGUGGGGAGCAAACAGG
Molecule: ribosomal RNA, 765 nt
Filed under: uncultured Streptococcus sp.
Lineage: Bacteria; Bacillati; Bacillota; Bacilli; Lactobacillales; Streptococcaceae
Description: bacterial SSU rRNA
Rfam family: Bacterial small subunit ribosomal RNA
Source: RNAcentral